AGGUAGCCAGACAAGCAAUAUACAUAAAGGGUACAACUGAAGGAAACAAAACGCUUCACGUACGUAAGGUUCAAAUAUCCUCAUACAAAUUAUUCUGACACAAUAGAUGUCCCAUCCCCAAAAAUAUAAGAGCAGAUCCAAGUGAACAUUGAGAUGAACACAGCCAAACACAUAUCCCUAAAGAAACAAAACAUGCACAUAAACCAUUAACACUUCCCACUAGUAAUGUUCAUGAUGAUUACCGAAGUCAGAAUGUCUCCUGCUCUAUUAAGGAAUACUACGUAAGCAGACAACAAAUGAAUUGUCUUAUAUAACAAUUAACAAAGGACAGCUUUGAGUGGACUAUAAACUUUAAUUAAAAGCAGGAAGUAUACUUUUUGGUUAUUUUUGAGGUGUCGCAAAUCCUUUUAUCAUUAUAAUGUAAAU
Molecule: long non-coding RNA, 426 nt
Filed under: Nicotiana benthamiana
Lineage: Eukaryota; Viridiplantae; Streptophyta; Magnoliopsida; Solanales; Solanaceae
Description: long non-coding RNA (NBEN_LNC023789)
Source: RNAcentral